GUUUUGAAUUUCUUGUUAAAUAAAUCUUUACUUGGCGUUCCAGUCUCAUUUCUUGUUUGUUUUCUUUAUGGAAGGAAAUGAAAUCCCCUGGGAAUUGACUCUGUUUCAGCUUUAAUUCGCGUCGAGAUCAUGAGUUACAUUUCCUCCUCUAAUCCUAUUUUCUCUUGCAUUAUCACUCUCUACACUCUAAUUCUCCUCUACUUCCCUCAAGCUCUCAAAAUCUUUCUUUCCCCAGUUUUGAUCGUCACUGCUCUUCUCAUACUCUUUCUCCUCCAUCUAGGCUCCAUCCAGAGUCGAAACCCAGAGAAAAAUGAGAACGAAGAGAAUAUUGAAAGAAAGGAAAACAGGGACGGAAAUUUCGUUGAAGCAGAAAAGUUUGGUUUUUUGGCCAAAGUGGACAAAUGGGUUUCAUUCCAAGAUGAAACAGGUCCUUACCCGAAUCCAAAACCUGAUUUUGAAGAGUCGUUUGUUGAAUGGGACGUGAGAGCUCCAUUGGAGGUCAUAUUUGAAGCGCACGAAGGAGAGGAUGAUAAUGAGAAGCACCAGGAUUCUGAUGAUCAUACCCGGAGUGCAGCUUUGCAGAGGUGCCCAUCUUUGUCAAUGUACUACCCAGAAACGGACUCGGAAACCUCUUCUGACGGCGGGUAUUCGGUGAACGGAGAAUGGGAUUCGCCGGAGAGCGUUUGCUUUAGAUGGGAAGACGAAGAUAGAGCAGGCCUGUUGAUAGAGAUAUCUCUUGAUAGCGAUGACAAUAAGUUUUCGGGUUCGGGUUUAUGUUUUGAUUUUCAGGUUGAAGAAGAUAAUUUAAUAGAGAUUGAUCUAUCUCCACCCAAAAACGAUGUGUUUUCUGGUGAGGUGUAAUUAGGCGAGGAAUAAAAGCCGUUUGAUCAUUAAAGUACGGCC
RNAcentral lists this unclassified non-coding RNA (903 nucleotides) under Hevea brasiliensis (rubber tree). Lineage: Eukaryota; Viridiplantae; Streptophyta; Magnoliopsida; Malpighiales; Euphorbiaceae. The record is from RNAcentral.